CCCGCUGAAUUUAAGCAUAU
This 20-nucleotide ribosomal RNA is filed under the name Paramoeba pemaquidensis. Its description in RNAcentral is "partial 28S ribosomal RNA". Lineage: Eukaryota; Discosea; Flabellinia; Dactylopodida; Paramoebidae. The record is from RNAcentral.